RNAcentral lists this unclassified non-coding RNA (253 nucleotides) under uncultured Gammaproteobacteria bacterium. RNAcentral describes it as "contains 16S-23S intergenic spacer region". It matches the Rfam family "Bacterial small subunit ribosomal RNA", at positions 524 to 776 of the family's 1533-position model. Lineage: Bacteria; Pseudomonadati; Pseudomonadota; Gammaproteobacteria. The record is from RNAcentral.
UACGUAGGGUGCAAGCGUUAAUCGGAAUUACUGGGUGUAAAGCGUGCGCAGGUUGUUAUGCAAGACAGAUGUGAAAGCCCUGAGCUUAACUUAGGAACUGCAUUUGUGACUGCAUAGCUAGAGUGUAUCAGAGGGAGGUAGAAUUCCACGUGUAGCAGUGAAAUGCGUAGAUAUGUGGAGGAAUACCGAUGGCGAAGGCAGCCUCCUGGGAUAACACUGACACUCAUGCACGAAAGCGUGGGGAGCAAACAGG